This is a long non-coding RNA of Seriola aureovittata, 581 nucleotides long. RefSeq lists it as uncharacterized. The record is from RefSeq and is a predicted model, not a curated record. NCBI's taxonomy places the organism in Eukaryota, Metazoa, Chordata, Actinopteri, Carangiformes, Carangidae. The transcript has 3 exons.
CAUACCUCAAGUGUUGCGUAAUGAGGUGUUGGACCAGAGUGGGACUUGAAUGUUGUUUACAGCUCUGCAACUAAUGUAGCCGUCUCACCAACUGCCCGAGGCAAUUUCCAGAAAAGAACAUGGUGUGGACUGUAAUUGCAAAUGUUUCUCUCUCAGACAGUCCGGGCAUCUCAAGCUCCAUUAGCUGAGCCAGGGCACGAUGUGAGACCGAACAACAAUGAGGUACAAUACUAUAAACCCAAGGUAUUUAUGGAGUACCACCUAGCAGAGAGCACACAGUGUUGAAAGGUGAUGCUCCUAUCUGGACUAUUCAGAUGCACAACUGCCAAGGAACUACGAGGCUCUAUUCAUCCAGUAUAUGAAGAGUCAGUCUCGACUUCCGUUGGUCCCCACUGUCUUUCCGCCACCAGUCAACAUCGGCCCAUCAACUAUCCCAACAAUCCAUCCAUUCCUUCCUUCAUCCUUCAUCACGUCAUCCCUUGACCGUCAUUUCUCAAUCCAUCCAAUAUCAUUCAUAAUAAUAAUACAUUAUCUUGGGUCACCUCCAUCUAUAUCAUACAAUAAAUUAUUGUAGAUCCAUA